GAUUAACGCUGGCGGCGUGCAUAACACAUGCAAGUCGAACGAUGAAACUUAAAUGAUUUCUUCGGAAUGAACUUAAGUGGAUUAGUGGCGGACGGGUGAGUAACGCGUGAGUAACCUGCCUUACACAAGGGGAUAGCCGUUGGAAACGACGAAUAAUACCCUAUGAAACUAUCACUUCGCAUGAAGCGAUAGUCAAAGUGUUAGCGGUGUAAGAUGGACUUGCGUCUGAUUAGCUAGUUGGUGAGAAAAAAGCCCACCAAGGCAACGAUCAGUAGCCGGCUUGAGAGAGUGUACGGCCACAUUGGGACUGGGACACGGCCCAGACUCCUACGAGAGGCAGCAGUGAGGAAUUAUGCACAAUGGGGGAAACCCUGAUGCAGCGACGCCGCGUGAUUUAGAAGGCCUUCGGGUUGUAAAAAUCUUUUGUAUAGGAAGAAAAUGACAGUACUAUACGAAUAAGGUCCGGCUAAUUACGUG
RNAcentral lists this ribosomal RNA (477 nucleotides) under uncultured bacterium. Its description in RNAcentral is "partial 16S ribosomal RNA". It matches the Rfam family "Bacterial small subunit ribosomal RNA", at positions 28 to 507 of the family's 1533-position model. The record is from RNAcentral.